AACGCUGGCGGCGUGCCUAACACAUGCAAGGUCGAACGGAGUAAUUAAGCGGAAGUUUUCGGGAUGGAAGCAUAGUUACUUAGUGGCGACGGGUGAGUAACGCGUGGGCAACCCUGACCCUGUAACCGGGGGAUAACACUUAGAAAUAGGUGCUAAUACCGCAUAAGCGCACAGCUUCGCAUGAAGGUGUGUGAAAAACUCCGGUGGUACAGGAUGGACCCGCGUCUGAUUAGCUAGUUGGUGGGGUAGAGGCCUACCAAGGCGACGAUCAGUAGCCGGCCUGAGAGGGUGACCGGCCACAUUGGGACUGAGACACGGCCCAAACUCCUACGGGAGGCAGCAGUGGGGAAUAUUGCACAAUGGGGGAAACCCUGAUGCCAGCGACGCCGCGUGAGUGAAGAAGUAUUUCGGUAUGUAAAGCUCUAUCAGCAGGGAAGAAAAUGACGGUACCUGACUAAGAAGCCCCGGCUAACUACGUGCCAGCCGCGGC
This 490-nucleotide ribosomal RNA is filed under the name uncultured bacterium. Its description in RNAcentral is "bacterial SSU rRNA". It matches the Rfam family "Bacterial small subunit ribosomal RNA", at positions 32 to 518 of the family's 1533-position model. The record is from RNAcentral.